This 325-nucleotide ribosomal RNA is filed under the name uncultured eukaryote. RNAcentral's name for it is "partial 18S ribosomal RNA". It matches the Rfam family "Eukaryotic small subunit ribosomal RNA", at positions 1470 to 1796 of the family's 1831-position model. The record is from RNAcentral.
CCCUUAGAUGUUCUGGGCUGCACGCGCGCUACACUGAUGCGCUCAACGAGUUUAUGACCUUGCCCGGAAGGGUUGGGUAAUCUUCUUAAAACGCAUCGUGAUGGGGAUAGAUUAUUGCAAUUAUUAAUCUUCAACGAGGAAUUCCUAGUAAGCGCGAGUCAUCAGCUCGUGCUGAUUACGUCCCUGCCCUUUGUACACACCGCCCGUCGCCCCUACCGAUUGAGUGAUCCGGUGAAUAAUUCGGACUGCAGCAGUGUUCGGUCACGAACGUUGCAGCGGAAAGUUUAGUGAACCUUAUCACUUAGAGGAAGGAGAAGUCGUAACA